RNA transcript from Ipomoea nil (Japanese morning glory), 1532 nucleotides. RefSeq lists it as uncharacterized. The transcript has 2 exons. NCBI's taxonomy places the organism in Eukaryota, Viridiplantae, Streptophyta, Magnoliopsida, Solanales, Convolvulaceae. The record is from RefSeq and is a predicted model, not a curated record.
UUAACUACAGAUUAUUAGAAGAUUAAUGAAAUUACUUACAAAUUAAUCUUCUAAUUACCUACAGAAGAAACUAAUUAAAAGAUUAACUACAGAUUACCUACAGAUGAACUACAGAUUAUUAGAAGAUUAACUACAGAAGAAACACAGAUUAUUAGAAGAUUAACUACAGAAGAAACACAGAUUAUUAGAAGAUUAACUACAGAAGAAACUAAUUAAACUAAUUAGAAGAUUACAUACUGAAGAUUAACUACUAGAAGAAACUAUCAAACGACCUACGUAGUAAGGCAGACGACCAGAUCCAGAAGAUUACCUACAGACGGAGUAGUGGACUGUGGACGGUCGACCAGCCAGAGACAAACAGACGGACCUGGCACACCGCACACGACCAGCAACGAUCGACGAGCAGGUGAGCAGACGGCGAGCGAGCGACUUGGCGUCGUUGGCGACGGCAGAGGAGAGGAGGGCGGGGUCGGUAGUCGCCUCACGGAGUAGAAUGAGAGAGGAGAGGAGGGCGGGUUCGGCAGUCUGAUACUGAUAGGGACCUAAAGUUAACUUCUUAAGUCAAUUUUAAUUUUAAAAUUGAGAUAAGGGUCAAAUAGGCCGUUAAAGUAUAACAAAAAAAAAGUAAUUGGACCUUCAAUAUAUAAAAAAUUUUAAAAUUGAGAUAAGGGUUAAAUAGGUCCUUAAAGUAUAACAAAAAAAAGUAAUUGGACCUUCAAUAUAUAAAAUGUUUUAAUUAAACCUUUUAACUUGUUAUAUUAAUACAAUUUACCUAUUUUACCUGUAACCUUCAUGUUAAUGUUGAUAUAGCAGUCACGUGGAUUUGAAAAGAAAUUACCUAUAAUGAUGUGGACUACAUUUAAAAUAUAUUUAAUAUAUAUUAUUAUUAAAACUAAAUAAGUAAAAUAAAUAAAUAAAACCCUAAACUAAUCCCUAAUCCCAAAUUUUCCGUCUUCUUCAUCGUCGAUGUUGUCCAUUUCCGGUCGGUGCACGAGGAUGUGAUUCUUGAGCCUUUGGAUGUCGUCCCAGUAGGGAGGAACUCCAGGACCAGCACAGAGUCGUCGUCCUCGCUCCAAAGAACUCGUGCAUUACGACAACGUUUGGGCAGUUCUGGAGGGUCUGCAAGGCUUCGAUUUCGCGGAGGGCCGACUGGUGAUUGUGGUUUUCCUUCAAGGCGACGGUGAGUUGAGUUCUCUCUCUCCUCAUUGUUUCAUUAUAAGUGGCGAUGCUUACGGCGGUUCACAAUGGUCCUCGUCGGCUAGGGGAAUGAUUCUUUGUCCGGUCGUCGGUGUUUUGAUGUUUUUCAUGUUGUCCCAGAACAGUGCUUCCAGUCCAUUCGGAUCUCUGAUCAAUGCUUUGUCGUAUGACGACAGAAAUUCAGGUUGUAACGACACAGAAGAUGUUUUCUUGUCGCCGAGACUAGAGAAGAUUCCCAGGCCUUCAUGAAACCGAAGGUGCUACUAGUGUCGCCGGUAGCAUGAUGGUUGGUCACGCCGAUGCAAAUCCUGACGUCCGGGAAUAGCGUCACUUGU